AAGCCAUGGUGUGGGCAAUCAAGUAAGAGCUCUUUGAACCACUCCCAACACUGGAAAAAUAUUUCACCAUUUUUUGUGAAAAUUUCAUGAUAUUUUUUUCAGUGU
This is a small nucleolar RNA of Magnolia sinica, 105 nucleotides long. The record is from RefSeq and is a predicted model, not a curated record. Lineage: Eukaryota; Viridiplantae; Streptophyta; Magnoliopsida; Magnoliales; Magnoliaceae.